AACCAUCAUACACAAUGUGUAUAUAUGUGUUGUGUUAACGAGAAGUUCUGGAUAAAAUUUUGUUCUGAUACCGCUGCUUCUUGUACUUCUGAGGUCGGAGUUGCAAAAUGAAGACUCGCCUGUUGCUUCCUGAGUCCUUCGUCUUAUGGACGCACAACCCCUUAUCAAUGCAUAUUUCCGUCCCCGCCCAUUCUCAGCUUGGACCAAACUUGUAUAUCUUUGCCAACUGGAGCAAUAAAGUGAGAUAGAUAUGGUAAUCUUCAGUUGUUGUUUUCCGACAACCUGCGGUCCUUGUGGCACAGUUUUCUCAAUGUUAUUCCUUUUUUACUUCUACGUCCACGAUCACAUCGUUUCGUGACUGGAGGAGUGACUGGAGACGUCGUCUGAAAUGACAGAUUUAAUAUGACUAAUAGCGCCAGAUGUCUCUCAAUGGACCUUUGCAAGUGCUGAA
RNAcentral lists this small RNA (451 nucleotides) under Histoplasma capsulatum var. duboisii H88. RNAcentral's name for it is "Histoplasma capsulatum H88 hypothetical RNA". Lineage: Eukaryota; Fungi; Ascomycota; Eurotiomycetes; Onygenales; Ajellomycetaceae. The record is from RNAcentral.